CCAGACUCCUACGGGAGGCAGCAGUGGGGAAUAUUGCACAAUGGGGGGAACCCUGAUGCAGCGACGCCGCGUGGGUGAAGGAGUACUUCGGUACGUAAAGCCCUAUCAGCAGGAAAGAAAAUGACGGUACCUGACUAAGAAGCCCCGGCUAACUACGUGCCAGCAGCCGCGGUAAUACGUAGGGGGCAAGCGUUAUCCGGAUUUACUGGGUGUAAAGGGGGCGCAGGCGGCGAUGCAAGCCAGGAGUGAAAGUCCGGGGCCCAACCCCGGGACUGCUCUUGGAACUGCGUGGCUGGAGUGCAGGAGGGGCAGGCGGAAUUCCUGGUGUAGCGGUGAAAUGCGUAGAUAUCAGGAGGAAC
Molecule: ribosomal RNA, 359 nt
Filed under: uncultured bacterium
Lineage: Bacteria
Description: bacterial SSU rRNA
Rfam family: Bacterial small subunit ribosomal RNA
Source: RNAcentral